UAACUAAAACCAUGCAACCAAAGAGCCAGCAAUAAUUUUACUCUUCCUGCAAGCAUCCACUCACUGAGACAUUUUCAUGCUACCAGCCACAAUACCACUACUUCAAGAAUUAGCAGCAUUUUGAUUAAGAAUUCCCACUUUGUUACUGGAUUGCAGACAGGAGCAGAGCAAUUUCUCAAAGGAAAUGGAACCAGUCUUUAGCUAGAUGGCUCAUGGAAUGGAAAACAGUCUUUCAAAUGGUCUGUCUUGAUCACUGUCUCAAACCCACAUUACUUAGUAGAAUUUGAAAUAAACAGACACUUGCACUAGCAAAGUACCAGGUCAAAACAGCAGAUGACUAACCAACACAAGAAAUGUGUUACUUUCCUAAUGAUCGUGCACAUGACAACAGUGCGGCAUUCAAUCCCCCCUCAAAUAAUUAGAUCACUGGAUUAUACUACUGUCUUCAUACCAACAGGCGUAGCUUCCUGACUCAGCUUUGAAAGGGUCUUUCCUGAUAAGCUGGACAUCCAUCAACUACAAAAAUUACUGCUACAACACUCUUACCUUAUUGUGGAGCACAGUCCAGUAGUGAUCUUUGCUUUUUGAACCAAUUCUUCUAUCCAAAAAUUGGAGGAGAAGAGAUUGCUUCACCAUACAAAGAAACAUCUCAAGAUUCUCUCCAGAAGACCAAAUCCUCCACAAAAAAAUCUAUUUACUUUGGAUGUCCUAAAUGUUUAGACCAUAAAUCUAGAAUGAAAGUAAAUUGCUUGGGUAAUGUACAGUAAUAUCUGGCAUAUAAAGUGAUUUCAGACCAUUCUACAAGGAGUUCAUUCACUCCUUGUAGGCACACCAGCUAGAUUAGUUUUAAAGUUCAAAGGAAACAAAACAUAAGCACUGGCCAGUAUUUUCAAACAUAAAUGCCUAAAUCCAGGUGAAAGAGACAU
This 926-nucleotide long non-coding RNA is filed under the name Crocodylus porosus (Australian saltwater crocodile). RNAcentral describes it as "lncRNA (ENSCPRG00005008984.1)". The record is from RNAcentral. Lineage: Eukaryota; Metazoa; Chordata; Crocodylia; Crocodylidae.